GACGAACGCUGGCGGCGUGCUUAACACGUGCAAGUCGAACGGAAAGGCCCCCACUUUUUUGGUGGGGGUGCUCGAGUGGCGAACGGGUGAGUAACACGUGGGUGAUCUGCCCUGUACUUCGGGAUAAGCUUGGGAAACUGGGUCUAAUACCGGAUAGGACCAUGGUUUAGUGUCUCAUGGUGGAAAAAUUAUUGUUUUGGUGCAGGAUGAGCUCGCGGCCUAUCAGCUUGUUGGUGGGGUAAUGGCCUACCAAGGCGUCGACGGGUAGCCGGCCUGAGAGGGUGGACGGCCACAUUGGGACUGAGAUACGGCCCAGACUCCUACGGGAGGCAGCAGUGGGGAAUAUUGCACAAUGGGCGCAAGCCUGAUGCAGCGACGCCGCGUGGGGGAUGACGGCCUUCGGGUUGUAAACUCCUUUCGUUAGGGACGAAGCCGCACCUUUUUUGGGUGUGGUGACGGUACCUUUGUUAAGAAGCACCGGCUAACUACGUG
RNAcentral lists this ribosomal RNA (492 nucleotides) under uncultured bacterium. Its description in RNAcentral is "partial 16S ribosomal RNA". It matches the Rfam family "Bacterial small subunit ribosomal RNA", at positions 28 to 507 of the family's 1533-position model. The record is from RNAcentral.